GCCAGGCAUGGUGGCAUGUGCCUGUUGUCCCAGCUACUUGGGAGGCUGAGAUAGGAGGAUUGCUUGAGCCCAGGAAGUCGAGGUUGCAGUGAGCCAUGAUUGCACCACUGCACUCCAGCCUGGGCAACAGAGCAAGACUCUGUCUCAA
Unclassified non-coding RNA from Macaca fascicularis (crab-eating macaque), 148 nucleotides. It matches the Rfam family "Metazoan signal recognition particle RNA". Rfam says of the family: The signal recognition particle (SRP) is a universally conserved ribonucleoprotein. It is involved in the co-translational targeting of proteins to membranes. The record is from Ensembl. NCBI's taxonomy places the organism in Eukaryota, Metazoa, Chordata, Mammalia, Primates, Cercopithecidae.